AGCCCUCACGGGUGCAUCUCGCGAUUCUUUAACUAAGUCGACAACAGUCCACGAACAAUCAUACGAACGUCCAGUAUAGAGUGAUCUUCCGGGACCAUGUGCUCCGUGAAGAAACGCGACGACGAACGGAGCUUGAUGCGCAUGAGACGAGGAACGACUCUGCUGCGCCAAGGUAAGUCCAAACGGUUCCAACGAGCCGGAGCCGCGAUACGGAGUGAGGGUACCGGCAAGGUCGAGUCCAGUCUCAGUGUUUGGCAGCGCCGCCUGGCGACGAAACUGAGAUCAGCGGCAACGUCGCCAAGGGGGCGGACUCUAGCUUACGUGAGGCCACUCCUACGCCACCCCACUCGUUGCGCGAUACGUGGGUUCCACCCCUUUUGCGUCUCGCGCGCUGUGAAUGCCGUGAUGAAACGUUCACUCCCGACGAACGGAUUUGCUUGAGAAGGGCAGAAGAAAGACCAAGGGAGAAAGAAGCCGGCGCCGCUGUACCUCGCAUUGUCGUAACCUCUAGGCGUAAUGCUUAAAUCCUUCACCCCUUUGCUAAAAAAAAACAACGCAAAGGUGUGAAAGACGAACUCCGGACCAAGAGGGAGAGAAAGAAACCGUAGAUAUCCCGUCAUAAAGAGAAACCGGUUUUGUUACAACGUAGACGGAAACCGUCGCUCUCUGAUCAGAAAUUCCUGAUGCGAUGCCACAGUGUCCCGAUGAUGGAAUCCGCGAAAACAGCGCUUGCAGAUCCCGCUUGACCCGCGCCAUCAUCGUUGCUCACAGUCGCCUUAUUCUACGGCGCGAUUAAGCAGAGUGUUUACAGAGGAAAUCGACCAACGCUAUGGAAUGCAGAAAAACACGUCGACGAAGUGAGCUGUCGACGCCGUGGCGCUCGUGCAUAGGAUGCACUCCUAGAUAACUCCUUGAGAUCCUGUCAUAUCAAUUGUAUAUUUAAAUUCUAUUGCAAGACGCGAAUCAUUGGUGUGAAAAGUCUUCUCGAGAGAGGAAUGACAUUCUAUCCAAACUGCGUCAUAGCAGCAAGUAGAAAUGCGUAAUGAUGUGUUGAAUAGCAUCAACUAAGGAAGUACAAUACAAAA
Molecule: unclassified non-coding RNA, 1085 nt
Organism: Acromyrmex echinatior (Panamanian leafcutter ant)
Lineage: Eukaryota; Metazoa; Arthropoda; Insecta; Hymenoptera; Formicidae
Source: RefSeq, a predicted model, not a curated record